RNAcentral lists this ribosomal RNA (291 nucleotides) under uncultured microorganism. RNAcentral's name for it is "partial 16S ribosomal RNA". It matches the Rfam family "Bacterial small subunit ribosomal RNA", at positions 505 to 796 of the family's 1533-position model. The record is from RNAcentral.
GUGCCAGCAGCCGCGGUAAUACGUAGGGGGCAAGCGUUGUCCGGAAUUAUUGGGCGUAAAGCGCGCGCAGGCGGUCAUUUAAGUCUGGUGUUUAAACCUUGGGCUCAACCUGGGGUCGCACUGGAAACUGGGUGACUUGAGUACAGAAGAGGAAAGUGGAAUUCCACGUGUAGCGGUGAAAUGCGUAGAGAUGUGGAGGAACACCAGUGGCGAAGGCGACUUUCUGGGCUGUAACUGACGCUGAGGCGCGAAAGCGUGGGGAGCAAACAGGAUUAGAUACCCUGGUAGUCC